RNAcentral lists this ribosomal RNA (1490 nucleotides) under Priestia flexa. RNAcentral describes it as "bacterial SSU rRNA". It matches the Rfam family "Bacterial small subunit ribosomal RNA". Lineage: Bacteria; Bacillati; Bacillota; Bacilli; Caryophanales; Bacillaceae. The record is from RNAcentral.
UUGGCAGUGGGGCUCUAUAAUGCAGUCGAGCGAACUGAUUAGAAGCUUGCUUCUAUGACGUUAGCGGCGGACGGGUGAGUAACACGUGGGCAACCUGCCUGUAAGACUGGGAUAACUCCGGGAAACCGGAGCUAAUACCGGAUAACAUUUUCUCUUGCAUAAGACAAAAUUGAAAGAUGGUUUCGGCUAUCACUUACAGAUGGGCCCGCGGUGCAUUAGCUAGUUGGUGAGGUAACGGCUCACCAAGGCAACGAUGCAUAGCCGACCUGAGAGGGUGAUCGGCCACACUGGGACUGAGACACGGCCCAGACUCCUACGGGAGGCAGCAGUAGGGAAUCUUCCGCAAUGGACGAAAGUCUGACGGAGCAACGCCGCGUGAGUGAUGAAGGCUUUCGGGUCGUAAAACUCUGUUGUUAGGGAAGAACAAGUACAAGAGUAACUGCUUGUACCUUGACGGUACCUAACCAGAAAGCCACGGCUAACUACGUGCCAGCAGCCGCGGUAAUACGUAGGUGGCAAGCGUUAUCCGGAAUUAUUGGGCGUAAAGCGCGCGCAGGCGGUUUCUUAAGUCUGAUGUGAAAGCCCACGGCUCAACCGUGGAGGGUCAUUGGAAACUGGGGAACUUGAGUGCAGAAGAGAAAAGCGGAAUUCCACGUGUAGCGGUGAAAUGCGUAGAGAUGUGGAGGAACACCAGUGGCGAAGGCGGCUUUUUGGUCUGUAACUGACGCUGAGGCGCGAAAGCGUGGGGAGCAAACAGGAUUAGAUACCCUGGUAGUCCACGCCGUAAACGAUGAGUGCUAAGUGUUAGAGGGUUUCCGCCCUUUAGUGCUGCAGCUAACGCAUUAAGCACUCCGCCUGGGGAGUACCGUCCCAAGACUGAAACUCACAGGAAUUGACGGGGGCCCGCACAAGCGGUGGAGCAUGUGGGUUUAAUUCCAAGCAACGCGGAAAAACCUUACCCGGUCUUGACAUCCUCUGACAACUCUAGAGAUAGAGCGUUCCCCUUCGGGGGACAGAGUGACAGGUGGUGCAUGGUUGUCGUCAGCUCGUGUCGGGAAAUGUUGGGUUAAGUCCCGCAACGAGCGCAACCCUUGAUCUUAGUUGCCAGCAUUUAGUUGGGCACUCUAAGGUGACUGCCGGUGACAAACCGGGAGAAGGGGGGGAUGACGUCAAAUCCUCAUGCCCCUUAUGACCGGGCCUACCACGUGCUAAAAUGGAAGGUACAAAGGGCUGCAAAACCGGAGGUUCAGCCAUUCCUUAAAACCAUUUCCAGUCGGAAUGGAGGGUGCACCCCCCCAAUAGAAUCUGGAUCCCUUAAAUUCGGGAUACUAUUGCCGGGGAAAACUUUCCCGGGCUUGAAACCCGCCGGAUGAACCCCAGGGUUGCAACCCCUAAAUUUCGGGGGAACCUUUUAGGCCCCCCCUUAGGGGGCCAAUUGGUGGCGGGGUUUUAAGGGAAGAAACAAAAGGGAAUUUCUGUUGGCUUGUUUU